RNAcentral lists this ribosomal RNA (274 nucleotides) under uncultured bacterium. RNAcentral describes it as "partial 16S ribosomal RNA". It matches the Rfam family "Bacterial small subunit ribosomal RNA", at positions 523 to 796 of the family's 1533-position model. The record is from RNAcentral.
AUACAGAGGGUGCAAGCGUUAAUCGGAAUUACUGGGCGUAAAGCGCGCGUAGGCGGCUUUGUAAGUCGGAUGUGAAAGCCCUGGGCUCAACCUGGGAAUGGCAUUCGAUACUGCAGAGCUAGAGUAUGGUAGAGGGAAGUGGAAUUUCCGGUGUAGCGGUGAAAUGCGUAGAUAUCGGAAGGAACACCAGUGGCGAAGGCGACUUCCUGGGCCAAUACUGACGCUGAGGUGCGAAAGCGUGGGGAGCAAACAGGAUUAGAAACCCCAGUAGUCC